This 467-nucleotide ribosomal RNA is filed under the name uncultured bacterium. RNAcentral describes it as "partial 16S ribosomal RNA". It matches the Rfam family "Bacterial small subunit ribosomal RNA", at positions 29 to 507 of the family's 1533-position model. The record is from RNAcentral.
ACGAACGCUGGCGGCGUGCUUCACCCCUGCCAGUCGCACGGAAAGGCCCUGCUUUUGUGGGGUGCUCGAGUGGCGAACGGGUGAGUAACACGUGAGUAACCUGCCCAUGACUUUGGGAUAACUUCAGGAAACUGGGGCUAAUACCGGAUAGGAGCUCCUGCUGCAUGGUGGGGGUUGGAAAGUUUCGGCGGUUGGGGAUGGACUCGCGGCUUAUCAGCUUGUUGGUGGGGUAGUGGCUUACCAAGGCUUUGACGGGUAGCCGGCCUGAGAGGGUGACCGGCCACAUUGGGACUGAGAUACGGCCCAGACUCCUACGGGAGGCAGCAGUGGGGAAUAUUGCACAAUGGGCGGAAGCCUGAUGCAGCAACGCCGCGUGCGGGAUGACGGCCUUCGGGUUGUAAACCGCUUUCGCCUGUGACGAAGCGUGAGUGACGGUAAUGGGUAAAGAAGCACCGGCUAACUACGUG